Molecule: ribosomal RNA, 253 nt
Filed under: uncultured bacterium
Lineage: Bacteria
Description: partial 16S ribosomal RNA
Rfam family: Bacterial small subunit ribosomal RNA
Source: RNAcentral
UACGAAGGGGGCGAGCGUUGUUCGGAUUUAUUGGGCGUAAAGCGCGCGCAGGCGGUUUCUUAAGUCUGAUGUGAAAGCCCACGGCUUAACCGUGGAAGGUCAUUGGAAACUGGGAGACUUGAGUGCAGAAGAGAAGAGCGGAAUUCCACGUGUAGCGGUGAAAUGCGUAGAGAUGUGGAGGAACACCAGUGGCGAAGGCGGCUCUUUGGUCUGUAACUGACGCUGAGGCGCGAAAGCGUGGGGAUCAAACAGG